RNAcentral lists this ribosomal RNA (253 nucleotides) under uncultured bacterium. Its description in RNAcentral is "partial 16S ribosomal RNA". It matches the Rfam family "Bacterial small subunit ribosomal RNA", at positions 524 to 776 of the family's 1533-position model. The record is from RNAcentral.
UACGGGGGGAGCAAGCGUUGUUCGGAUUUACUGGGCGUAAAGGGCGCGUAGACGGCGUGACAAGUCACUUGUGAAAUCUCCGGGCUUAACCCGGAGCGGCCAAGUGAUACUGUCGUGCUAGAGUGCGGAAGGGGCUACUGGAAUUCUCGGUGUAGCGGUGAAAUGCGUAGAUAUCGAGAGGAACACCUGCGGCGAAGGCGGGUAGCUGGGCCGACACUGACGCUGAGGCGCGAAAGCCAGGGGAGCGAACGGG